RNAcentral lists this ribosomal RNA (863 nucleotides) under Escherichia coli. RNAcentral describes it as "partial 23S ribosomal RNA". It matches the Rfam family "Bacterial large subunit ribosomal RNA", at positions 370 to 1238 of the family's 2925-position model. Lineage: Bacteria; Pseudomonadati; Pseudomonadota; Gammaproteobacteria; Enterobacterales; Enterobacteriaceae. The record is from RNAcentral.
GCCCCGUACACAAAAAUGCACAUAUUGUGAGCUCGAUGAGUAGGGCGGGACACGUGGUAUCCUGUCUGAAUAUGGGGGGACCAUCCUCCAAGGCUAAAUACUCCUGACUGACCGAUAGUGAACCAGUACCGUGAGGGAAAGGCGAAAAGAACCCCGGCGAGGGGAGUGAAAAAGAACCUGAAACCGUGUACGUACAAGCAGUGGGAGCCUCUUAAUGGGGUGACUGCGUACCUUUUGUAUAAUGGGUCAGCGACUUAUAUUCUGUAGCAAGGUUAACCGAAUAGGGGAGCCGAAGGGAAACCGAGUCUUAACUGGGCGUUAAGUUGCAGGGUAUAGACCCGAAACCCGGUGAUCUAGCCAUGGGCAGGUUGAAGGUUGGGUAACACUAACUGGAGGACCGAACCGACUAAUGUUGAAAAAUUAGCGGAUGACUUGUGGCUGGGGGUGAAAGGCCAAUCAAACCGGGAGAUAGCUGGUUCUCCCCGAAAGCUAUUUAGGUAGCGCCUCGUGAAUUCAUCUCCGGGGGUAGAGCACUGUUUCGGCAAGGGGGUCAUCCCGACUUACCAACCCGAUGCAAACUGCGAAUACCGGAGAAUGUUAUCACGGGAGACACACGGCGGGUGCUAACGUCCGUCGUGAAGAGGGAAACAACCCAGACCGCCAGCUAAGGUCCCAAAGUCAUGGUUAAGUGGGAAACGAUGUGGGAAGGCCCAGACAGCCAGGAUGUUGGCUUAGAAGCAGCCAUCAUUUAAAGAAAGCGUAAUAGCUCACUGGUCGAGUCGGCCUGCGCGGAAGAUGUAACGGGGCUAAACCAUGCACCGAAGCUGCGGCAGCGACACUAUGUGUUGUUGGGUAGGGGAGCG